AGGUUAAACAGCAUGUGUAUAUGUAACUCCCGCAUACUUUGUGACCUUACUAUAGAUAAGCAAAGAUUGGCAGUAUUAGAUGUGCAGCUCUCCUUCCAACUGACAGAUUUCCUUCCCCUUCAGUGGAGACCCCCGGGAUUAAGUAAAUGCCAUCAGAUUGGGAUCUCAGGCCUCCUUACAAUAAUUCAGUGCGACUAGAAACAGCAGAUCGGUAAAUGAAAUCCUGCAUUUAUUGAAUGAACGUAAAUCAUUCCACGACCGGGCUGGCUCUCCCACGGGGUGGGGUCUCUGUUGUGACGGUACCUGUGCUAACAAAGGCAGAAAAAUCACAGGCAGCGUCCUCGUGCCAUGCAUGGGAGCGGAGGGGUUUCCACUGCAGGGACGUGAACGCUUUUGCAUGCUGUCGUGGUUUGGCUGUGGCAGUUUCGAGGUUAGCACGAUCAGGAACUGGAAAUAAGCCAAGUCCUGAGACAGCACUUUGAGAUAUGAAUGACCCAUGAAGAGCUACCAAAAAAGUGGCCUUGCCAUGUCUCACAGGGGAAGGGAUGAUAAAGUGUUACAACCCAAGCCUACCUCCACUUCAGGAGAAUGCAGGUACUAUGCGGUAAAAACUGCUCUGAGUGAUGGAGAUGAAGCAAGCUGAAGUCACAUUAAGCAAGCGCAACUCAUGAAAUUUACUCCCGUGCUUCACCUCCUGUAUUACAUUCAUUUGAUUACACCGUACUUAGACAGACGUGUGCUCACUGGCAGGCUGCACAGAACGCCAAUGCUGAUGAUACCUUAAAUCAAGACACUGAAUAAACACAGGUUUGAAUAUGAAUUUCCGUAGGGCGGAAGAAUAAUGGUGGGAGGUGGAGCAGUUAUGUGAAUAGACCCCGCUAUGGGUUAGAUUCAAGACAAACAUAAUGGAAGUGAAGAUUACAUACUUGUAUAUUGCUGCAAUGGAGUUGGGAGUCA
Gavialis gangeticus (Gharial) is the source of this 957-nucleotide long non-coding RNA. RefSeq lists it as uncharacterized. NCBI's taxonomy places the organism in Eukaryota, Metazoa, Chordata, Crocodylia, Gavialidae. The record is from RefSeq and is a predicted model, not a curated record. The transcript has 4 exons.